AGACAGACGAUCGCGGCUGCAUGUGCCGAAAGGCAGCAGACGAGGAAAGUCCGGGCUUCACAGGGCAGGAUGCCGGAUAACGUCCGGUGGAGGCGACUCCAAGGCCAGUGCAACAGAAAUAAACCGCCCGGACAGAUGCAUGGGGAUAACAGGCAGGGACAAAAGAGAUCCCGGUUGUCCAUAUGCAUCUGUCCGGGUAAGGGUGGAAAGGCAGUGUAAGAGACUACCGCCUCUCUGGUAACAGCGAGGGCACAUGUAAACCCCAUCCGAAGCAAGACCGGAAAGAAGCAAUGUGGCUGCCCGUCACGCUUCAGGUAGGUCGCUCGAGCACGGCGGCGACGCCGCGCCUAGACAGAUGAUCGUCCAACGACAUAACCCGGCUUAUCGUCUUGCUUA
This 396-nucleotide RNase P RNA is filed under the name uncultured Mediterraneibacter sp. RNAcentral's name for it is "Bacterial RNase P class A". It matches the Rfam family "Bacterial RNase P class A". Rfam says of the family: Ribonuclease P (RNase P) is a ubiquitous endoribonuclease, found in archaea, bacteria and eukarya as well as chloroplasts and mitochondria. The record is from RNAcentral. Lineage: Bacteria; Bacillati; Bacillota; Clostridia; Lachnospirales; Lachnospiraceae.